Non-coding RNA from Hypoxylon fuscum, 82 nucleotides. Lineage: Eukaryota; Fungi; Ascomycota; Sordariomycetes; Xylariales; Hypoxylaceae. The record is from the annotation of a GenBank genome assembly.
GAUGGCUUGGGUGAGUGGUCUGUACCGUAGAACUAGAAGUUCUAUCCCUUCGUGGGCGUCGGUUCGAAUCCGGCAGCUAUCU